RNAcentral lists this ribosomal RNA (650 nucleotides) under uncultured bacterium. RNAcentral describes it as "bacterial SSU rRNA". It matches the Rfam family "Bacterial small subunit ribosomal RNA", at positions 202 to 839 of the family's 1533-position model. The record is from RNAcentral.
AAAAGGUGGCUAUGCUACCGCUUUUGGAUGGGCCCGCGGGGCAUUAGCUAGUUGGUGGGGUAAAGGCUUACCAAGGCAAUGAUGCGUAGCCGAACUGAGAGGUUGAUCGGCCACAUUGGGACUGAGACACGGCCCAAACUCCUACGGGAGGCAGCAGUAGGGAAUCUUCCACAAUGGGCGAAAGCCUGAUGGAGCAACGCCGCGUGGGUGAAGAAGGUCUUCGGAUCGUAAAACCCUGUUGUUAGAGAAGAAAGUGCGUGAGAGUAACUGUUCACGUUUCGACGGUAUCUAACCAGAAAGCCACGGCUAACUACGUGCCAGCAGCCGCGGUAAUACGUAGGUGGCAAGCGUUAUCCGGAUUUAUUGGGCGUAAAGGGAACGCAGGCGGUCUUUUAAGUCUGAUGUGAAAGCCUUCGGCUUAACCGGAGUAGUGCAUUGGAAACUGGGAGACUUGAGUGCAGAAGAGGAGAGUGGAACUCCAUGUGUAGCGGUGAAAUGCGUAGAUAUAUGGAAGAACACCAGUGGCGAAAGCGGCUCUCUGGUCUGUAACUGACGCUGAGGUUCGAAAGCGUGGGUAGCAAACAGGAUUAGAUACCCUGGUAGUCCACGCCGUAAACGAUGAAUGCUAAGUGUUGGAGGGUUUCCGCCCU